GUGCACCAGGCGAGAAACCUUCGCAAUGCGGGAAACCGCGACGAGGGGACUCCCAGUGCCUACGCUCAGCGUAGGCUGUUCCCGAGCCUAGAAAGCUCGGGGAGUAAGGGCUGGGUAAGACGGGUGCCAGCCGCCGCGGUAAUACCCGCAGCCCGAGUGGUGGCCACUGUUAUUGGGCCUAAAGCGUCCGUAGCCGGCCCGGUAAAUGCCUGGGUAAAUCGUGAGGCCUAACCUCACGAAUUCCGGGUAGACUGCCGGGCUAGGGACCGGAGGAGGGAGAGGGUACUCCAGGGGUAGGGGUGAAAUCCUGUAAUCCCUGGAGGACCACCGGUGGCGAAGGCGCUCUCCUAGGACGGGUCCGACGGUGAGGGACGAAAGCCAGGGGAGCGAACCGGAUUAGAUACCCCCGUAGU
Molecule: ribosomal RNA, 413 nt
Filed under: uncultured microorganism
Description: bacterial SSU rRNA
Rfam family: Archaeal small subunit ribosomal RNA
Source: RNAcentral